AUUGAACGCUGGCGGCAUGCUUUACACAUGCAAGUCGGACGGCAGCGGGGGUGCUUGCACCUGCCGGCGAGUGGCGAACGGGUGAGUAACAUAUUGGAAUGUACCGAGUAGUGGGGGAUAACCAAUCGAAAGAUUGGCUAAUACCGCAUACGUCCUGAGGGGGAAAGCAGGGGAUCUUCGGACCUUGCGCUAUUUGAGCAGCCAAUAUCUGAUUAGCUAGUUGGUGGGGUAAAGGCCCACCAAGGCGACGAUCAGUAGCGGGUCUGAGAGGAUGAUCCGCCACACUGGGACUGAGACACGGCCCAGACUCCUACGGGAGGCAGCAGUGGGGAAUUUUGGACAAUGGGGGCAACCCUGAUCCAGCCAUGCCGCGCGUCUGAAGAAGGCCUUCGGGUUGUAAAGGACUUUUGUUAGGGAAGAAAAGAGAAGUGUUAAUACCACUUUUUGCUGACGGUACCUAAAGAAUAAGCAC
This 472-nucleotide ribosomal RNA is filed under the name Kingella denitrificans. RNAcentral describes it as "bacterial SSU rRNA". It matches the Rfam family "Bacterial small subunit ribosomal RNA", at positions 30 to 493 of the family's 1533-position model. Lineage: Bacteria; Pseudomonadati; Pseudomonadota; Betaproteobacteria; Neisseriales; Neisseriaceae. The record is from RNAcentral.